GCUUGUCUCAAAGAUUAAGCCAUGCAUGUCUAAGUACAAGCCUCAGUAAGGUGAAACCGCGAAUGGCUCAUUAAAUCACACCUAAUCUACUGGAAAGUUACUAGUUACUUGGAUAACUGUGGUAAUUCUAGAGCUAAUACAUGCAUCAGUACCCGACUUUGUGGAAGGGUUGUGUUUAUUAGAUAUAGAACCAACCCAGGCUCUGCCUGGUUAUGUGGUGAUUCAUGAUAACUGAAUGAAUCGCAUGGUCCGCCGGCGAUAAAUCAUUCAAGUUUCUGACCUAUCAGCUUCCGACGGUAGGGUAUUGGCCUACCGUGGCAAUGACGGGUAACGGAGAAUUAGGGUUCGAUUCCGGAGAGGGAGCCUGAGAAACGGCUACCACAUCUAAGGAAGGCAGCAGG
Molecule: ribosomal RNA, 401 nt
Rfam family: Eukaryotic small subunit ribosomal RNA